Long non-coding RNA from Stegastes partitus (bicolor damselfish), 528 nucleotides. RefSeq lists it as uncharacterized. The record is from RefSeq and is a predicted model, not a curated record. NCBI's taxonomy places the organism in Eukaryota, Metazoa, Chordata, Actinopteri, Pomacentridae. The transcript is spliced from 2 exons.
GCGACCUUCUUGCUGCGAGGCAACAGUACUAACCAACUGCGCCACCUUGCAGCCCAUUCUGAAACAUUUGUGGAAGAAAUAACUUAAACAGGUUAAAAGUUUUACAGCAGCUUCAGACUGUGCUUCAGCAAUAAUUAUGAGGAAAUAUGUCAGCAGUCCUUGAUGAUUAGACCAGAUGGAGUAGUUGAUACAGUCAAGACAGUUAUAGUGUUUUGUUCCACAGCCAUCAUUAUGUCUUUAAAUGUCAUUAAUCUAAUUUCUUCAUCAGCAAAAUGUCACAUACAUAGCAGCAAAUUCCCCAAACAGAAACCACCUUUACUGAGUUAAUGUGUGAUUUAAAAUGUGAUCUCCACAGGCUGUAAUGCUGUACAGGUCAAACUGUGUGAAAACUACAGCCAUAUGUCAUGAAUUUAAUCUGUCAUCUGUUUGUUCCUCAUCAGUGAUUUAUUUCUUGAUGCAUUAUUGGAAAUGCUAAACUUGUUUUAAACUCCAUAUUGAUCGUAAAUAAACUUUAAACAACUGUCUGCA